CUGAGUACUACACUCUCUACCCUUUGUGAACUAUUAUACCUGUUGCUUCGGCGGCGCCCGCGAGGGUGCCCGCCGGUCUCAUCAGAAUCUCUGUUUUCGAACCCGACGAUACUUCUGAGUGUUUCUUAGCGAACUGUCA
Molecule: unclassified non-coding RNA, 139 nt
Filed under: soil metagenome
Description: partial internal transcribed spacer 1
Source: RNAcentral